Molecule: ribosomal RNA, 427 nt
Filed under: uncultured bacterium
Lineage: Bacteria
Description: bacterial SSU rRNA
Rfam family: Bacterial small subunit ribosomal RNA
Source: RNAcentral
UGGGGAAUUUUGGACAAUGGGGGCAACCCUGAUCCAGCCAUUCCGCGUGAGUGAAGAAGGCCUUCGGGUUGUAAAGCUCUUUCGGCAGGAACGAAACGGCGGGCUCUAACAUAGCCUGUUAAUGACGGUACCUGCAGAAGAAGCACCGGCUAACUACGUGCCAGCAGCCGCGGUAAUACGUAGGGUGCGAGCGUUACUCGGCAUUACUGGGCGUAAAGCGUGCGCAGGCGGAUUGUUAAGCAAGACGUGAAAUCCCCGGGCUUAACCUGGGAAUGGCGUUUUGAACUGGCAGUCUAGAGUGCGUCAGAGGGUGGUGGAAUUCCACGUGUAGCAGUGAAAUGCGUAGAGAUGUGGAGGAACACCGAUGGCGAAGGCAGCCCCCUGGGAUGACACUGACGCUCAUGUACGAAAGCGUGGGUAGCAAACA